This is a transfer RNA of Naegleria gruberi, 72 nucleotides long. It matches the Rfam family "tRNA". Rfam says of the family: Transfer RNA (tRNA) molecules are approximately 80 nucleotides in length. Their secondary structure includes four short double-helical elements and three loops (D, anti-codon, and T loops). The record is from Rfam. NCBI's taxonomy places the organism in Eukaryota, Heterolobosea, Eutetramitea, Acrasida, Naegleriidae.
GGGACCAUGGUCUAGUGGUAUGAUUCUCGCUUUGGGUGCGAGAGGCCGUGGGUUCGAUUCCCACUGGUCCCC